This is a small nucleolar RNA of Eutrema salsugineum, 110 nucleotides long. It matches the Rfam family "Plant small nucleolar RNA R71". From Rfam's summary of the family: R71 is a member of the C/D box family of snoRNAs containing the C (UGAUGA) and D (CUGA) box motifs. NCBI's taxonomy places the organism in Eukaryota, Viridiplantae, Streptophyta, Magnoliopsida, Brassicales, Brassicaceae. The record is from Rfam.
AAUCCAUGGUGAGGGCAAUCACGUUCAUACUCCUUAAAACGUUCCCAGGCUUCAUAGAAAGAUUCAGUCGGUCCUUGUUGAAAGCUUGAGAUUUUUGUUCUCAACCGGUU